This 421-nucleotide ribosomal RNA is filed under the name uncultured soil bacterium. RNAcentral describes it as "bacterial SSU rRNA". It matches the Rfam family "Bacterial small subunit ribosomal RNA", at positions 26 to 438 of the family's 1533-position model. The record is from RNAcentral.
AGGACGAACGCUGGCGGCGUGCUUAACACAUGCAAGUGGAGCGACGAACCAGGGCUUGCCCUGGGGCAGAGCCGCGAACGGGUGAGUAACACGUGGGUAACCUGCCCAGAUGAUCGGGACAACCCGGGGAAACCCGGGCUAAUACCGAAUGUGCUCCUAGACCACCAGGUCUUUGAGUAAAGGAAGCUUCGGCCUCCGCAUCUGGAUGGGCCCGCGGCCCAUUAGCUUGUUGGUGGGGUAAUGGCCUACCAAGGCGACAAUGGGUAGCUGGUCUGAGAGGACGAUCAGCCACACUGGGACUGAGACACGGCCCAGACUCCUACGGGAGCAGCAGUGGGGAAUCUUGCGCAAUGCGCGAAAGCGUGACGCAGCAACGCCGCGGUGGGGGAAGAAGGCCUUCGGGUUACGUAAACCCUUUCGA